CCUACGGGAGGCUGCAGUGGGGAAUUUUGGACAAUGGGGGCAACCCUGAUCCAGCCAUGCCGCGUGAGUGAAGAAGGCCUUCGGGUUGUAAAGCUCUUUCGGCCGGGAAGAAAUCGCUCAAGCUAAUACCUUGGGUGGAUGACGGUACCGGAAGAAGAAGCACCGGCUAACUACGUGCCAGCAGCCGCGGUAAUACGUAGGGUACGAGCGUUGAUCGAAGUUACUGGGCGUAACGCCUGCGCACACGGGUGAAAUCCCCGGGCUUAACCUGGGAACUGCUUUUGUGACUGGGGUGCUCGAGUGCGGCAGAGGGGGGUGGAAUUCCACGUGUAGCAGUGAAAUGCGUAGAGAUGUGGAGGAACACCGAUGGCGAAGGCAGCCCCCUGGGUCGACACUGACGCUCAUGCACGAAAGCGUGGGGAGCAAACAGGAUUAGAUACCCUAGUAGUC
RNAcentral lists this ribosomal RNA (450 nucleotides) under uncultured bacterium. RNAcentral describes it as "partial 16S ribosomal RNA". It matches the Rfam family "Bacterial small subunit ribosomal RNA", at positions 338 to 795 of the family's 1533-position model. The record is from RNAcentral.